This 207-nucleotide ribosomal RNA is filed under the name uncultured bacterium. RNAcentral's name for it is "partial 16S ribosomal RNA". It matches the Rfam family "Bacterial small subunit ribosomal RNA", at positions 568 to 774 of the family's 1533-position model. The record is from RNAcentral.
UGUGUAGGCGGCUGAUUAAGUCGGAUGUGAAAUCCCUGAGCUUAACUUAGGAAUUGCAUUCGAUACUGGUCAGCUAGAGUAUGGGAGAGGAUGGUAGAAUUCCAGGUGUAGCGGUGAAAUGCGUAGAGAUCCGGAGGAAUACCGAUGGCGAAGGCAGCCAUCUGGCCUAAUACUGACGCUGAGGUACGAAAGCAUGGGGAGCAAACA